UCUUCUGGUGCUUUUAGACUGGGAUCUUCCGAUAGACAGCUUGUUGGACAGAAGGGGAAAUGAGGAGGGCAUUGUGGCUGGACAACUCUACUAAUGAAAUGGAAAAGAGUCCUAGAAGGGCAAAGUCACCAGCAUGCUCUGGCAUGACCUACAUACAAAGCACUAUGCCAGACACCAGACUCUCUGCCAGACACCAGAGAUUCAAGCAUCAAGCAGAAAGAGAACCGAGCUUAAGAACCAGAGGGAAAUCAUCUCAGCGUUGAGGACAUCCUUGAGUGCUGGGCAGUCUGAGGACAGGGAAGGAGUGAUGACCACAAAACAGGAAUGGCAGCAGCAGUGACAGGAGGAAGUCAAAGGCUUGUGUGUCCUGGCCCUGCUGAGGGCUGGCGAGGGCCCUGGGAUGGCGCUCAGUGCC
RNAcentral lists this long non-coding RNA (415 nucleotides) under Homo sapiens (human). RNAcentral describes it as "HSALNT0212951". The record is from RNAcentral. Lineage: Eukaryota; Metazoa; Chordata; Mammalia; Primates; Hominidae.